Molecule: non-coding RNA, 133 nt
Organism: Podarcis lilfordi (Lilford's wall lizard)
Lineage: Eukaryota; Metazoa; Chordata; Lepidosauria; Squamata; Lacertidae
Source: the annotation of a GenBank genome assembly
CUUCCAGUAGCACCUUAGAGACCAGCUAAGUUUGUUAUUGGUAUGAGCUUUUGUGUGCAUGCACACUUCUUCAGAUACACACACAUGCACACGAAAGCCCAAACUUAGUUGGUAUCUAAGGUGCUACUGGAAG